This is a long non-coding RNA of Pseudophryne corroboree (corroboree frog), 528 nucleotides long. RefSeq lists it as uncharacterized. Lineage: Eukaryota; Metazoa; Chordata; Amphibia; Anura; Myobatrachidae. The record is from RefSeq and is a predicted model, not a curated record. The transcript is spliced from 4 exons.
UUGCUUUUGGGAGAAAUAUCCCUGGUUUAAUUUAUUUUCUGGGUGUGCUACUGAACACCAAGUCUUUAUUUUUUUUGGAGCAGAAAAAAUGUACGCUCCUGCAAUCCUUUCCCUGAAUGCAAAAUUUACUGGAAGUUCACAUGAUGCAUAUGUCAUUAGACAAUCAGGGAUAUGGCAGAGAUUAAGAUCAAGUCAACGAGCAGACAUGUGGUUAUUGGGAGACCGUGGAUAUCCUUGCACCCCCUGGCUCAUGACUCCUUACCGUAAUCCCAGGCCAGGACCACAGAUGGCAUUUAACUCCGCGCUUACUGCCACUAGGCAGCUGGUGGAGCGCACAAUUGGUGUCCUUAAAGGGCGGUUUCGUGUGCUCCACCGCACUGGUGGCGACAUCAUGUAUUCGCCGGAGAUGGCAAGUAAAAUAGUGGUCCUGUGCGCAAUACUACAUAAUAUCGCGGUAAGGAGUAGUGUAGAGCUUCCUCAGGCAGAGGAAUUGCCUGAUGAGGAGCCAGGGGUUGGUCGACGCUUCGG